RNAcentral lists this ribosomal RNA (253 nucleotides) under uncultured bacterium. RNAcentral describes it as "partial 16S ribosomal RNA". It matches the Rfam family "Bacterial small subunit ribosomal RNA", at positions 524 to 776 of the family's 1533-position model. The record is from RNAcentral.
UACGAAGGGGGCUAGCGUUGCUCGGAAUCACUGGGCGUAAAGCGCACGUAGGCGGGUCGUUAAGUCGGGGGUGAAAUCCUGGAGCUCAACUCCAGAACUGCCUUCGAUACUGGCGAUCUUGAGUCUGGGAGAGGUGAGUGGAACUCCGAGUGUAGAGGUGAAAUUCGUAGAUAUUCGGAAGAACACCGGUGGCGAAGGCGGCUCACUGGCCCGGUACUGACGCUGAGGUGCGAAAGCGUGGGGAGCAAACAGG